AGAGAUUUGCCACAGGCACCUUUCAGCAAAUCAACAUUAUCAGCAAAGGCCACAUGUCCGUCAGCCGUGAUUCCCCAGUAAAGAGGAACCUUACCAAAUUGAUCCUGCCAAUAUCAUCCCACCCCCAAACAUUUCUCAAAUUAAUAUCCAACUUGUCAACGGAUUUAAAAGGAGGACUUUUUUUAGAAAAAAUUUUAAAGUGUUGUUUGUCCAUGGGGUUAGUAUUAUCUUCAAGCUAAGGGUUUUGUCUAUUAAUUCUAUUGAGAGUAUAAGUACUAAAGGUAUGGUUUAUAAAACAAGAGCACUUUCUUGGAUCCUAUUGGUAGGUGAUCAUGUGCCAUGCAUCAUCCGAUUCAAUAAAAUGCUCCUACUCUAUGAACCUUACAUUUAGCUCGAGCUUUCAAUAGAGUUGAGAGAUAAAACCCCCAACUCGACUGGGGGACAAUACCAACCCAUUUAAAGGUCUACUAGCUCCAAACGGACAUAACUUUGAAAUUUUUUUUGAAAAGGAGUCGACCUCUCUUCAACAAGAUAUUAAAAAUUAUUAAAUCAUUUUUAUUCAAACAAUUUGAGAUUCAAUCACUUUAGGGUUUAAGUAAAUUUUAAAAUUAAAUUCAGACCACUUGUUUGAGGUUUUAAAGUUUCAAGCCAGGUCAUUACGCAUACAAGUCAUUAAAUGUUUUAGUUACUUCAAGUCCACCAUUAAAUUAAUCUAGACCACGGACAAAAACAAGAGGCAUUUAAAACAAUUUUUUGUCUCCGCCUCUAAUCUAAAUUUGGGUUAAAAAAAUUUAAAUUGUUGUCUAAUUAAGUAAAAUCGUAUAUAAAUUUGAGUGUAUCUAAUAUUUUUUUAAAAUUUAGAUCAAAAUUAAUAGGUUUAAAACAACAUCUAAAGAUUAAGGAGAGAGAGUAAUUGAACUUACAGAAGCCACAAACAAGGUGGAGGUGGAGUUGUCAAAGACAAUGAAAGAAAAGGAUCCAUUAAGAUGGGCAACCAUAUGGCUAGGAGGGUAAGGUGCUCUGUCACGAAGAGCCUUGUAAGCUUCUAUCACCAAUACCACCUCUGUUGCUGACUUACCAAGUCCAUAUUGCUGCUUUAAACUCCCUAAGUUAUCAAGUGCCCCCUCAAACAUGCAGAAUAUUUCAUCUUUCACCGCGAAUGACCUGCCAUUAACGUAUUUUAUGAAAUUGAAAAAGUUAGUCCCAUUGGAUAAAACAUUAAAAUUUCAUCAUAAAAUUAUUUACUUAAAAAAUCAACAAUUUAAUAAUUUAUACUUAAUAAAUUAAUAAAAGUUAGAAGUUCAAAUUCAUAUAUUACUGAUAAUUAGACCAAUUUCUCAUUUUUUUAUAAAAUAAAAAGAUGAAAUUCAUAAUUAAAUAUAAUUUAUUAUUAUAUUAAAACCUAACCGUUAUCUCCUCAAUGAAAAUUUAUUUUAUAAAUCAUUUCCACCACAUCAUUCAUAGUUCCUUUCCAAUUAUUUAAUCAUAUUUCAACAAUUUUGUCCAUGUCAUUCAUACACAAUGUUGGUAAAUUUUUUUAUUUUGAAUCCCGAAUCCCAAAUUUUGAAUUCGGAAUCCAAAACCCCAAAUACAAACCUCAAACCUUAACUUAAAACUCUAAAGUUAAUUUAAGGUUUAGAGUUUUAAGUUUCAAAUUUAGUAUUUGGACUCAGAAUUGGAUUCGAGAUUUGAAUUCAAAAUAAAAAAAUUACCAAAAUUAUAUAUAAAUGAUAUAAAAAUUAUUAAAAUAUCAUUAAAUAAUUAAAAAUAUGCAAUAAAUAAUAUGAUAAUAAAGGUGGAUAAAAUAAUUUCAACUUUUCAAUAACCUAACAAGCAUAUCACUCCCCCUUUUGGCCUCAAAUCACUGGCCACCACGUGGGUCCCAAUCCUAUUUGGGCAACCUUAUCCAUUAUGCUAUCCAGAUCAAUUUAUCACCCCCACCCACCACAGGUCAUUGCCAUGCAAGAAAUUUGAAAAAGAAAAAACAACUUUAUAUAUAAUAAAUAUAAAAUUAAAUUAAAUUAAAAAGUAAAUCAGCAUAUUUAAAAUAUAGAGGUGUAUUUAAAAAGGCAUAAUAAUUUAUUUGGCCCUCUAACGUUACAAAACAAUCAUUUUAGCCUUAUAUUUAAUUUUGUCUUUUUUAACUCUUAAACUAAUUAUUUUAUCAAAUCACUCAAACUAAAUAAAAAAGUUAAUUUUCUUUAACUUUGUUGAUGUUGCAUACAUUUAGAAUGAUAUAUCAAUAUUUAAUUACUUUCUUAAAAUUUUAAAAUUAUUAUAAAAUUAUAAAAAAUAAAUAGUUUUAAAUUUUAAAAAAUUAAUUAAAUGCUAGUGUGUCAUCUAUAUAGUAAUCCACAUAUAUACUACAUCAGUAAAGUUAAAAAAUGUUAAUUUUUUCCAUCUAUUUUGAGGUGAUUCGACAAAAUACAAAUUCAAGAUCUAAAAGAGGUAAAAAAUUAAAUGAAAGUUUAAAAUAAUUUUUUUUAUAAAGUCGGAGGACCAAAAAAUUUAUUAUGCAGUUUAAAAAAUAACAUAUAAUUUGAAACCAAUUAAUAACAAUAUAUAUAAUAUGUAUGAUAUUAAAUGAAAAAAUAAAAUUAUAUUUUGAAUAAAAUAAAAAUUAAAUAAAUAAAUACUUCAAAUUAAGAAUAUUAAAUCAACUAUUAUUGGUGGAGGUAAUAAAGUAUAUAAAUAAAAUUAAAAUGUAUAAACUAUUUUAAAACAAAAGUUUGAUUGAAUGGUAAAAUUAAAAUUUUAUUACUAAAAUAUCACGAGUUCAAUCUCAUUAUAUAUCAAAUUAUUUAUUAAUUUUUUUAAAAUAAAUUAAAUUAAAAUAAUUUUGAUUUAUAAAACUAAUUCAAUAUUUAAAUAAUAAUAUAAAUAUUAAAAAAUUAAAAAUUAUGUAUCAAAUUAUUAGUUUUAUUUGGGAAAUUGAAAACACUUCGCUUAUAGGAUACUAAUCCAAAUUUUAUUCCCAUCAAUAUCAUAAAAUAAAGAAAUAGCAAUUUUAUGUACCAAUUCAUCUGGCUCUCCACUAUUACUAGUGGUGACUAUACUCAUAAGUUACAAUCAGAUGUCCUGGAUGUUAGACACGUGUAUGGUUGAAAUUAAAUCUAAAAAAUCCAAUUCAAAAUCCAUAUUUCAAUGUCAUCAACAUAUGGCCACACGUAAACCAAUCACCGGACCCCUCUCCACCCACCAAGGAAAAUGAAAAAUCAUAAUGACUUUACGUUGGACCGAGUUAUCUGGUUCUGUGGUCCGCGAAACAAAUAUAGAUGUGAUUGUGUCAUCUGAGUCUAUAGUGUUACGGAAAAAGGACUUCCACUAAAAUGAAUUUUAUGUUCGCUAUAAUUUGUUGAUAUUUUAUUGACUAUAAAUAAAAAUUAAUUAAUUAAUCUCUAUACUUUAAAAAUAAUUAUAAAUUAAUUUUUUUUGUUAAAAAUCCACAAUUAAAUGAUGAUGUGAAAAAAAAAAUCCAACAUGAAAUUUAUUUUUAUUUUAGAAAACGAAAAAUUCAACAUGAUAUAUUAAAAAUUUUGGAUAAAUGGAAAAAUGAAAACAUAAUUUCUUUAAUCUUAUUUAUCCUUUAAUUUAUCUUACUUACAUAAUUUUAUUUUGAAAAAAUCAAAUCAUCACUUACAACAAAUACAAAUAAAAUAUUUAACAAAAUGACCAAUUUACACAUUUUUUUCUAUCAUACAAGGGUUAAUUUACUCAUCUUUUUAAUAAAAAAGAGUAAAAUGCAAUUCAACUUCUUAUACAAGUGUCUCUGCGAUAUUUUUACAUGUUUUUUCCCUCUUCUUUUAUAACCACGUUAUAUUUAAGUUCCUAGUUGACAUGGGCAAAUCCACAGAUUUUUUUUAAUGGACCAAAAUUGAAUAAUAAAAUUUUCAAAUAUCAAAGCAUAAUUUUAUAAUGUAUUAAUUUAUGAUUUCAUCAUUUUUAAAGGAUUAAACAUAAUUUUUUUCAUUUUGGAGGCCAAAAUACAAUUUUAUCAUAAAUUAAUUUUAAUUUAAUCAUUUAAUAGUAACUUAUAUGGUAAUUUUUUCAUUUGAAAGCUCAAAUUUGUCUCUACUAAUUAAAUCAGUAUCACAAGUCAAAUGAACACCAAUUCAAUUGAAAAAUAUCUAAACUACUAUUCUACAUACAAAAUUCUUUAUUUAAAUCAACACGUCUAAUGAUUCUAUUCUAAUUAUUAUAACUUUAUAUAUGUUGAACUAAUAGAAAAUCUUUUACUAUUUUAAAUUUUAAAAAACUUAAAUAUUUGUGCACACAUAAAUAAGUUUUAAUUUUUAACUUUUUCUCUAAAUCUUUUGAAUUAUAUUUUAAUAAGUUCUUAAAUUUUAAUUUAUAAAUAAAUGAAUCUAUAACAUAAAUCAAUCUUCCACUUAAAGAUACGAUUUGAGUUAAUUUAUCACCAAUUUAAUUAAAAAUUUUAAUAUAUAUUAUAAAUAAAAAAUAUUAUUACGAUAACAUUAAUCUCUCUUAAUAAUUUAUAUAAAAUUAUUAAAAUAAUCUAUUUAAUGGGUGUGAUGUGCAAAAUUUAACUAAAUGAUGAAAGUUUAACUAAAUAACAGUUGUUUUAAAUAUAUAUUUUAAAAAUAUCUAUAAAAAUAAUAUAAUAUUUUAAUAUUUUUAAAUAUCUAAAUUAAAUUAAAUUUUUAUUUUUAAAUAAAUAUAAUAUUGUAUAUAUCAAAUUUUUUAACAUCUAUUACGUGACAUCAAUUCAAAUUUAAGUUCAUACAAAAACAUUUAAAAAUCAUUUAUUACAAAUUUUAUGGAAAAGUGCUAAAAUUUUAAUGUCAGGCAUAUAAUUGGCUGUUGAAUCUGUUUUAAAAAACAGAAUAAAUUGAACGCUAAGCAUUACGUAAUACUUAUAAUUUUCUAUUUGUUUAUCUAGAAAACAAUCGUCAGCCUCCGAUUAAUUAAAUUAAUCACAAUAAAUUUCUCAGUUCCUUUAAAAAAUCUUCAGGGAUUACGAAGCUUUAGAUCAACUUAAGAAGCUACAGAUGAAAAUUUUCAUGAACAAAAUUUUAUUAGUAACUAAAAUUAUAUUGUAAAUAAUGAUAUUUUAAUUGAAACAGUGAACACUGCUUUGAUCAACUUAAGAAGCUAGAGAUAAAAUUUUUAAAUUCGAACAAUUUUGCUCUUAAUCUCACUUAAACAUAUGAAAUAAAUUAAAAUCAUGACGGUUUCUUAGCCUUAUUGAUCAUUAAAUGAUCCAAUGGUCAAGAUCCAACGUGAUUGAUAUUUUUUACCUGGGAAGUAAAGCAGACUCGUUACGGUGAGAAUAAGCGAAUUGGACAUGAUCUCCGAUCUGCAUAGACACGGUGGAGGGGUUUGCCUCGAUGAACCGUUUCACAAGAGCGUCCGCCGUUAUCUUAGGCGACGGCGUCCUGCAACCGGCAGCCACCAGCUCGUCCGGCGGGGACACUAUCGCUCCGCUGAAUACU
This 5453-nucleotide long non-coding RNA is filed under the name Gossypium barbadense (sea-island cotton). Its description in RNAcentral is "long non-coding RNA (GBAR_LNC001096)". Lineage: Eukaryota; Viridiplantae; Streptophyta; Magnoliopsida; Malvales; Malvaceae. The record is from RNAcentral.